UGGGGAAUAUUGGACAAUGGGCGAAAGCCUGAUCCAGCAAUGCCGCGUGAGUGAUGAAGGCCUUAGGGUUGUAAAGCUCUUUUACCAGGGAUGAUAAUGACAGUACCUGGAGAAUAAGCUCCGGCUAACUCCGUGCCAGCAGCCGCGGUAAUACGGAGGGAGCUAGCGUUGUUCGGAAUUACUGGGCGUAAAGCGUACGUAGGCGGUGACUCAAGUCAGAGGUGAAAGCCUGGAGCUCAACUCCAGAACUGCCUUUGAAACUAGGUCGCUAGAAUCACGGAGAGGUGAGUGGAAUUCCGAGUGUAGAGGUGAAAUUCGUAGAUAUUCGGAAGAACACCAGUGGCGAAGGCGGCUCACUGGACGUGUAUUGACGCUGAGGUACGAAAGCGUGGGGGGCAAACAGGAUUAGAUACCCUUGUAGUCCCUGAGCGGGCUGGCAAGGCGCAU
This 447-nucleotide ribosomal RNA is filed under the name uncultured bacterium. Its description in RNAcentral is "bacterial SSU rRNA". It matches the Rfam family "Bacterial small subunit ribosomal RNA", at positions 355 to 825 of the family's 1533-position model. The record is from RNAcentral.